RNAcentral lists this long non-coding RNA (401 nucleotides) under Dromaius novaehollandiae (emu). Its description in RNAcentral is "lncRNA (ENSDNVG00000001090.1)". The record is from RNAcentral. Lineage: Eukaryota; Metazoa; Chordata; Aves; Casuariiformes; Dromaiidae.
AGACUUGAAAAAGGACAUACAGCUGAAAUGCUGGCUUAACAGAUGAUGCACACUUAGUUUGCCAGCCACUGAACAUCUGUAAGGAGAACAAGACAAUUGCGAGUAAACACUAAUAAAUUUUGAGAUAUCAAUCAUCUCUGUCAAGCAACUCAAGGAAGGCUUUCUUUGGAUGAGUGGUAGUACGCCAUUAUUUUCCUCACUUUCCAUGGAGUUACUUUCUGGUACAAAAAAGCUGAGACAGAAAUAGAGGAAUACAACUGGAUGCUCAUGCCAUACCUGAGGGCUUGACCUGCCUCAUUGUUGCAGUGCCGAAGGCUUGGUUGAUCAGCAUCCGUGAUGAGGGCUAUGAGAGCGCACAGAUAGCUGGAUCAAAGGGUCUUCCUGGAAAUAGGCGCACUUAG